RNAcentral lists this ribosomal RNA (253 nucleotides) under uncultured bacterium. RNAcentral describes it as "partial 16S ribosomal RNA". It matches the Rfam family "Bacterial small subunit ribosomal RNA", at positions 524 to 776 of the family's 1533-position model. The record is from RNAcentral.
UACGAAGGGGACUAGCGUUGUUCGGAAUUACUGGGCGUAAAGCGCACGUAGGCCGACAUGUCAGUCAGGGGUGAAAUCCCGGGGCUCAACCUCGGAACUGCCUUUGAUACUGCAUGUCUAGAAUCCGGAAGAGGUGGGUGGAAUUCCUAGUGUAGAGGUGAAAUUCGUAGAUAUUAGGAAGAACACCGGUGGCGAAGGCGGCCCACUGGUCCGGUAUUGACGCUGAGGUGCGAAAGCGUGGGGAGCAAACAGG